This 460-nucleotide ribosomal RNA is filed under the name uncultured bacterium. RNAcentral describes it as "partial 16S ribosomal RNA". It matches the Rfam family "Bacterial small subunit ribosomal RNA", at positions 338 to 795 of the family's 1533-position model. The record is from RNAcentral.
CCUACGGGCGGCAGCAGUGAGGAAUAUUGGUCAAUGGACGAGAGUCUGAACCAGCCAAGUAGCGUGAAGGGUGACUGCCCUAUGGGUUGUAAACUUCUUUUAUAUGGGAAUAAAGUGUUCCACGUGUGGGAUUUUGUAUGUACCAUAUGAAUAAGGAUCGGCUAACUCCGUGCCAGCAGCCGCGGUAAUACGGAGGAUCCGAGCGUUAUCCGGAUUUAUUGGGUUUAAAGGGAGCGUAGGUGGAUUGUUAAGUCAGUUGUGAAAGUUUGCGGCUCAACCGUAAAAUUGCAGUUGAAACUGGCAGUCUUGAGUACAGUAGAGGUGGGCGGAAUUCGUGGUGUAGCGGUGAAAUGCUUAGAUAUCACGAAGAACUCCGAUUGCGAAGGCAGUUCACUAGACUGCAACUGACACUGAGGCUCGAAAGUGUGGGUAUCAAACAGGAUUAGAUACCCUAGUAGUC